RNAcentral lists this ribosomal RNA (336 nucleotides) under uncultured bacterium. RNAcentral's name for it is "bacterial SSU rRNA". It matches the Rfam family "Bacterial small subunit ribosomal RNA", at positions 18 to 344 of the family's 1533-position model. The record is from RNAcentral.
CCUGGCUCAGGAUGAACGCUGGCGGCGUGCCUAAUACAUGCAAGUAGAACGCUGAAGCUUGGUGCUUGCACCGAGCGGAUGAGUUGCGAACGGGUGAGUAACGCGUAGGUAACCUGCCUGGUAGCGGGGGAUAACUAUUGGAAACGAUAGCUAAUACCGCAUAACAGUCGACAUUGCAUGAUGUUGAUUUGAAAGGGGCAAUUGCUCCACUACCAGAUGGACCUGCGUUGUAUUAGCUAGUUGGUGAGGUAACGGCUCACCAAGGCGACGAUACAUAGCCGACCUGAGAGGGUGAUCGGCCACACUGGGACUGAGACACGGCCCAGACUCCUACGG